GACGAACGCUGGCGGCGUGCCUAAUACAUGCAAGUAGAACGCUGAAGAGAGGAGCUUGCUCUUCUUGGAUGAGUUGCGAACGGGUGAGUAACGCGUAGGUAACCUGCCUUGUAGCGGGGGAUAACUAUUGGAAACGAUAGCUAAUACCGCAUAACAAUGGAUGACACAUGUCAUUUAUUUGAAAGGGGCAAUUGCUCCACUACAAGAUGGACCUGCGUUGUAUUAGCUAGUAGGUGAGGUAAUGGCUCACCUAGGCGACGAUACAUAGCCGACCUGAGAGGGUGAUCGGCCACACUGGGACUGAGACACGGCCCAGACUCCUACGGGAGGCAGCAGUAGGGAAUCUUCGGCAAUGGGGGCAACCCUGACCGAGCAACGCCGCGUGAGUGAAGAAGGUUGUCGGAUCGUAAAGCUCGGUUGUAAGUCAAGAACGGGUGUGAGAGUGGAAAGUUCACACUGUGACGGUAGCUUACCAGAAGGGGACGGCUAACUACGUG
RNAcentral lists this ribosomal RNA (497 nucleotides) under uncultured bacterium. Its description in RNAcentral is "partial 16S ribosomal RNA". It matches the Rfam family "Bacterial small subunit ribosomal RNA", at positions 28 to 507 of the family's 1533-position model. The record is from RNAcentral.